This is a long non-coding RNA of Musa acuminata AAA Group (dessert banana), 334 nucleotides long. RefSeq lists it as uncharacterized. The record is from RefSeq and is a predicted model, not a curated record. NCBI's taxonomy places the organism in Eukaryota, Viridiplantae, Streptophyta, Magnoliopsida, Zingiberales, Musaceae. The transcript is spliced from 3 exons.
CUGCCCCUUCUUCCCUCGAUAUUGAGGCGGAUGCUGAUAGGGUAGUCGAUCCUCGGCCUUUCUUUGCAUGGGUUUAAAGUUUAGUUGAUCAGAGAGUUCGUCACGGAAACAGCUUGAGGUGAGGCUGCGUACAUGGACCCUGCCCAUCCCAUAUUGGCGUAAGCCUUAUCCAAUGGAUACCAAAGUAGAAGAUAAGAAUCAAGCUGAGGUCCUACUGGGUGCCACUGAUCGAGGACUCGUGCAAGCAGAUCCUGGAAGCUGCUUGGACAAUGACUGCCAAGACGAUGGGUCCUGUUCCCCUUCCUACAAAGAGAAGAGUCUAUUGCAUCCUCAA